GAGGGCAUAGCUCAGUGGUAGAGCACAUGCUUAGCGUGAACGAGGAUCUGGGUUCAGUCCCCAGUACCUCCA
This 72-nucleotide transfer RNA is filed under the name Camelus bactrianus (Bactrian camel). It matches the Rfam family "tRNA". Rfam says of the family: Transfer RNA (tRNA) molecules are approximately 80 nucleotides in length. Their secondary structure includes four short double-helical elements and three loops (D, anti-codon, and T loops). Further hydrogen bonds mediate the characteristic L-shaped molecular structure. tRNAs have two regions of fundamental functional importance: the anti-codon, which is responsible for specific mRNA codon recognition, and the 3' end, to which the tRNAs corresponding amino acid is attached (by aminoacyl-tRNA synthetases). tRNAs cope with the degeneracy of the genetic code in two manners: having more than one tRNA (with a specific anti-codon) for a particular amino acid; and 'wobble' base-pairing, i.e. permitting non-standard base-pairing at the 3rd anti-codon position. The record is from Rfam by way of RNAcentral. Lineage: Eukaryota; Metazoa; Chordata; Mammalia; Artiodactyla; Camelidae. RNAcentral also lists the same sequence under 2 other names.